This 6135-nucleotide long non-coding RNA is filed under the name Monomorium pharaonis (pharaoh ant). Its description in RNAcentral is "uncharacterized LOC114255482". The record is from RNAcentral. Lineage: Eukaryota; Metazoa; Arthropoda; Insecta; Hymenoptera; Formicidae.
UAUUAUAUAAAUCUGCCUAUAAAUAAUAUUACAUUUUUAUAGUAAUAACAAUUUAACCCUGCUACUGUAAGUAAACUUUUAUCAAAGAGCUAAUUUAAGUUUAAUACAAUAUUUAAUAUAAAAAUUUUGUACAAUAUAGCUUAAAAUAAUAUUUAAAAAAAUUUUUACAUUAAAAUAGUAUUAGUUCAAUUAUUUUAACAUCUUACACUGAAAAAAGAGUCUCGUUAAAUUAAUUAGAAAUCUGGUAGGUUCGACCUUACGGUUCAAAUUCUAGUUACCUACCAGAUUUCCAAUUAAUUCAACAAGACUCUUUUUUUCAGUGUACAACUUAUAUAGUUAUAGGGUAUUAAACACAAAAAAUGUGUACAAAAAGUUAUUAAUUUUAUGAAUAAAUUUUCACCCAAAGUAAUGUUAAUAUUAUGUUAAAUGUUAAUAUAAAAAAUACAAGCAUUCCCAGGCAACUGUUAGCUGCUUAAAUACUUGCGCAUUUUUAUAUCAUUUUUAUUUAACAAUAAUAAAAAACUUCAGAUAAAAAAUCAUCAAAAAUUGAAAUCGUAAUUUUAAUGGAUUCAAUCUUUGAUGGAAAAAAUACAAAUUGAUCUCUAAUAAUUGAAUUAAUAACAAUUAAGAGAUAUUUAAAUUAAAGUAAAAUAUAUAUUUCUAUAUUUUCAAUGUUGCAUGCUAAUCAAAAAUUUACCGACAUUAUAAUGAUUUCAACCGUAUCUUUAAUGUACUAUAUAUAUUUAUGUUAGACAAUAUCUCACGAGGAAAACAUUGUAGAUUAUUCAAUAAAUAUCAUUUUCUCCGAUUUUUUAGUGACACGAAUAAUUUACUGCGUUUUUUUAACGUACAAAACGUAGUCGAAGGCACGAAGUGAUUUGAGGUGAUUAACAUCAGAAUCGUUACGUAAAUGCAAACCUGUAGUAGGGAUAACCUUCACGUGCGAGCGAAAAAAAGAGUAAAUGCGUGCUAUCAGGUCAAGGAAGAAGCUAAAGAAUGAACUGUUCUCACUGAAAGGAUAAAACGUAUCUCGUGGUACGGAAAGUAUGAUUGAACUAAAAAGUCACGUGUACCUGUUGACAUUUUAAAAAAUGUGUCGCAAAAUUUUAUAAAUCAAUCAUUAUUAAUUGUAAAUAAAAUAUUCUACAAUAAUAUUAUUUACUAUUAGCUUGGCUCAUUAUAUACGUAUUCUAUUAUUUGUUAAUUUAAAUUUGUUAAUUUAGCAGUUUAAAAAAGCUAUUAGUUUAUUAAUAGAAAUAAAAUUUAAAAUUAAAUGUUAUUAUUCUUAAAAAGAUAGUAGAAUUUCUUAAGCAAACAGUUUUUAUUUUAUUUAUUUAUUUAUUAGAUCACACGUAACAAAAAUAACAAUAAAAUGUAACGAAAAAGCAGAAAUAAUUCAACUUUCCUUUUUUCUCAAUAUGUAAAAAUAUUAUAAUAAAAGAUAUAUCCGCAAAUGUUUCAAACAUUCAAUAUUUUCGUAAUUUUAUCAAAAUAGUUAUUAAGUUAUCUAAUUACAUAGAGAAAAGUUACCUAAGUACAGCUUUCUUAGAGUAACAUUCCUUUAUUUCUCGAAAACUGAACAUUGCACUAUUAAUACUAAUAAAAACAUAAUCUGCUAAGAUAAUUAAAAAAAUUAAAACCUAUAGUUCUUAUACUUAUGGCUUUUUUCUAUAUAAAAUUUACUAAAAACAAAUCUAACCUAAUCUAUCUAACUUUUAUACAUGUCGCACUACAUUUUGCGAAACAGCAUGAGAUAUUUAUAUAAUCGAUAAAAAAUAUUUUACAUCGAAGUGAAAGAUUGCCAGAAAUCCUCAUAUACAUUAAUUUAUAAAUAUUUAUAAUUUACACAUUUUGUACAAAUAAUUCACAACAAAUAAUUGUACAAAUAAAAAUGAAAAAUGUAAAAAAAAAGAGAAGAAAUAUGCCUGUUAUACCAAUUUUGAGAACCAAUUUCUCGGAUGUUCAUUUAUGUUGCAAAAACAUUAAUUAUUAUAAAACAGUAUUAUAAUAUAAAAACUACUAUUCCAUCUAAAAGAUAAAAGACUGACAGAAAACAUUUUCUAGUUUGUAUGUAUGUUUUCAAAAUUUUAUUUUUAGCUUUUGUUUAAGAAAUACAGUCCGAAAAUAAAAUGGUGUGUUGGUAAUUUUCCUCUAAUAUUUACGUAUGUUUUUUCUUUAAAAUGUCUUUCAUUUUUUUAUAAACAAUACAAUACUCUUGAUCGAUACUCUUUUAAGAGAAGGAAAAGAAUUUAGUAGAUAAAAGUGUUGCAAUCAGCAAUAACACAGAAGCUUCGAUAGCAAACACAAAAGAUUGUAACAUACUCACAAUGAUAUAUUGACGUGACACGCGAAUUACAAUUAUAAUAAAACGCACAAUUAUUUUCGAGAAAGAAUUAUCUCAUAUCGCUCACAGAAAAAUGUUUCAUGAUAUAUACUCUCUGUAUCUCUUCAUACAGAAAUCUCGGUUAUUUAUAGAGGAUAUUUGCAUUUUUUACAUUUCUUAUGCAGAACAACGACGUUGAAGACGGUGCCAAUGACAAUAGCCAUGCAAUGUGCAAUACAUAUUUCUUUUUUUUGCAUUAAAACACAAUUUAUACUUUACAUUGAAAUAUUUAAAGGUCAUUGGUAAUUAUUUAAAAUAAAAACAAAGUAAAAAUAAGUAUAUAAUAGUAUGAUGAAAAAAUGCGAUCUGCGAUUUACAAAUGAAAAUGAUUACUUCAUUUACAUCAUUCUUAAUUUAAAAAGUACGUAAACAAUCUUCAUAUUACUUAUUUUUCACAUUUAGAUUGUUUCGUCGCAUUUUGUUCUGUACUUCGUGAUGCAAUUAUUUAAAAUUUCUUUUAAAUUAAAUAAAUCCUAAAAUAAUCCUAUACAUCGAAUACAUCUUCUAUAGAACAAACAUUACAAUUGUUACUCGUUAAAAAUUUCUAACUAUAACACAUUACAUUCUAUCGUAUUUCAUUGAAAGAACUUAUUUGUAUCAAAAAUGACGUAAUUUUAAGUUUCAAAAUACCAAUUGAUCUAUACGGAUUUUAAAUUUAUACUUUCCAAAAAAAUUCAAACGACUUCUGAUACCAUAAUUAACAGGCUAAUGGUGACGAUAAGUUAAUAAUAGCUAAUAACAGAUGCAAGGAAAUCCGUUGGAUAGUGAGACGUUGGUCAGAUUUUACGCCCAUACGUGCUUUCCGCGAAUACUACCGACUAAUGAGUCAUUGGUAUCAGCUAGCUGCUAGCAUAACAUUCGAUGCGCGUCAUGCAUCCUUCACGCAUUGGAGAAUCAGACGUAUUAAUUGAGAAUGAAGAACAAAAAGAAAGUCGGUCGGACAAUUUCUGCUCUCGUUACUUUGCCAUUGUUACUUAUUACGUAUGACGUAAACUAAAAUAAGGUAAAACUGUUUGCUUAAAAAAAAAAUUAUUUCAAGAUAUAUAAUAAUAUUUGUAUUAUAUCGCGGAUAUAAAAUGCUUUGUGAGAGAAACUUCAGUGACAACGAGAAAAGAAUUAAUCAAUUUCGAUUUUGGAUUAUUUUACGAUGUUUUAAAUGACACGAUGAAUUAAAAAUUCGAUUCAAAACAAUGUUUUAAAACAAUUACGAGGAAUCACAUAUUAAGAAGCUAUAUAUUAAACAGAUUCCAUAUAUUAGAAAGCUUCUAUAAAAAUGGAGCUCCUAUUAUUAUUUAAGCGUUUGCAAAUACGAAAUACUUUCCUCUCGGUGCACACAUUUUAUGUUACCACCCAUUUUCGUUUAUUCAUCAGUAAUGUUAAUAACAUAUUUCACAAAUAUCUUUGUGAAAUAUCUUUUGUCCGAUACUCCACGGGAGUCGUAUUUUGAUUUAAUCGAUACGUUUCCUGCUUUCACGAAGAACACGAAGGAGUAACAUCGCUACGAGGUGUUAUCAACGAUAUUAUUGACAAGUCAGCUCGUUGACACAACGACAGCAUUACCGUUGUCAAUUAAAAGCGUGAAUCUCGGACGAAUUUCGAAGCCGGCUCGGCACAAUGCGCGCUCGAACAUUCGACAAGUGCAAUCGCGCCGCAUUUAGGUGACAAAUUUCGCUGCAUUGUACCACAGCACCGUACUCGCGAUUAAUCUUUUCAUAUGGCGCGACGUACGUUUUCGACUUGAAAUGUCCGCCGUCGUUAAUUCACUGAAGCCUGUCGGCUGAAGCGAAUAAAUGGGCGCGAAUUUUUCGCCCAUAACUCUCUUGGCUACGACAUUGUAAAUAAUCGCGAAUAUUCCGACGCGUGGCUCAGCGUUUCGGGAGCACAUUGUAAUAAGUAAUUUUCCGCGGUUGAAAAAGCUCGAAAACGGCUGUAAAUAUUUACGAUACCGCAUAUAUGACGAAAAAAAAUUGGUGCAUUAUGAAUCAAAGCGACCUUUAUAUUUUCUUCCUUUGAAAAUCUCCCUGCAUUUUUCAUCCCCCUAAGAAAUAUCCCCCGCGAUAGUCAAAUCCAAAUUUUUGGGAGGGGGGAAUCACCCAAGCUGAAGUGACUCGGGGAAAGCUCGGCAAUAAACACGCGAUUACUAGCCGGGAAUUUAAACUGUAAGGUCGAUAAAUUCAACUUUCGAUAGUACGAAUCUCUGAAAGGUUAAGCCGAUCAACUCCAUGAAAUGAACGAGGGAAAGGAAUGACGCAAUUGUUAGGCGUGAUGCACGCACUUUCCGUUCAAAAAUCACGACAUUUUACAAAAAGCGAUCCCGCCGGAUUCCCCCCGGGCGGCGGGAGGGGAAGAGUCAGUCCCACGUCAAUCGCGUGUGGCGUGGUCGUGAAUGAACGUGGACGUCAUUCUCGCGCGUAUACAACAUCCGAGGAUGAUCCUCGCCGGGAUAAACAUCGGAAUCCCGGAGGCAAUGAAAAUACGUUCUUCAUUCAUCGGCGACUCGCCAAUAAGUGACAAGGUCGGCCAUGGUCGCCAUGGACCCGGGUGCGACACACCGGCUCGGUGGUCCGUGACGACGACGACGACGACGACGAAGACGGAACAAUCAACCACGAUAAAGGGGAAGGCGGGGGGGGGGGAGGCUGAUUGGUCAUUCCGGCAAGUAUGUACAUUCGCGAACACCUGUCAGCUCGGAUGCCGAGGCCGAGCGGACGGACGGACGGACGCCUGUCAUUCGCCGGCUCCGCGGUUACGCCUUGUCGGCGACGGAGCCUCCGUUUCUUCCGCUUGUCGCGCGACGAGAGUCCGCGGGGACUGCUGGAGGAGCACCGCCGUGUCGUAACACGCGCCGUAAAAAAUUAAGUACACGCGCGCGUAACUCACGCACGAUCGUAGGGCGUGAGUUACGCGUGCACGACACGACGGCGACGACGACGACGACGACGACACGCGUGUGUCGUCGGUGUAACUUGGCUAUCUGGUGCACCAGAGCAUCGUAUACAUCGUGUACGAAAGGAAAGGGAGGGAGAGAGGGAGGGAGAGUGAGACAGAGAGCGACGAACUAGGCAAGAGUAGUCUCGACCGGAUUCACUCACCGCGACGAGGGCCGCUAAUCUAUCCUUGGUCAUGAUGAAGGGUGACGAGGAAUUCCGAGUCAACGGGCGGUGUACGGAGCGGCGUGUCUAGCGGUGCCGUCCCAACGCGGCGCGCACGCGCCGAUGACGUCAACUUCGUCUCGCAGGUGCGGACAACGCGCGCCACGGCGCCCCGUGCGAAAUGCGAAUUAAACCCCCGUCAACAUCGUCUCGAGAGCCGGACCGAAGAUGAACAACGGGAGAGUCACAGAAUUUUUUUCGGGUCCUUACGUCAUGUUUACACUCAUCGUGUUCCCGAACGCUCGAUUGGCACCAAUUUCAUAUUUCUGUAUUCAAUAAUGUGAUAUAGAUUGACGUCGUAUUUUAAUUCACUUUUAAUUAAUUUAAUAUAAUUUUUGUUUAAAAUAAAAACGUUAUAAUAGAUUUUGUAACACUUAUAUUUAAUUGUAACUAUUUUUAUAAGUAAUAUUAUAUAUUUAUUCAAUAUUUGUACACAGUAUAUUUGUAUAUAGAAAUAUUACAGAAUAAAAAUUAAAAAUAUUAUAUUAUGUUGCAAUAACACUCAUUGCAACGCUUAUUUUUGUUAAUGGCAGAUAAACUUAAAUUGUGAUCUCUAAGUUAAAUGUAUACAAUAAGAUAGUAAAAAGUGAUUAACAAUAA